Long non-coding RNA from Megachile rotundata (alfalfa leafcutting bee), 6391 nucleotides. The record is from RefSeq and is a predicted model, not a curated record. NCBI's taxonomy places the organism in Eukaryota, Metazoa, Arthropoda, Insecta, Hymenoptera, Megachilidae.
AAUUUCUAACUGUCCCAAUUUCCCAAAGUUCCAAAUUCACUAAUUUGAACAGUUUUGGACAACGCGAAGACCAUAAAUGUAAAUUAUGGUUAAGCCACGCAACUUCUACUAGUUAAAAUUUUUAAUACAAUCUGAGUACAGUAAAGACUGGAUAACUGCGACAAACGAUGGACUGGAUAACUAGCAACGUUACUAUUCCCACCACUUACAAUUAGUCACACCUCCUUCGAAAUAAGGUAGAUCCACCCUUGCUGACUUUUCAUCGCAAUCAUUUAGGAAGAUGUCCUGGACCUUGUUAUCAAGAUCGGAUUCUUAUUGAGUUGGGACGAUCGUUACAGUACCACGGUUAAUUGUUACUUUCACCAACCCUAGAAAGUCUACACCGAUUAAAACAUCAUACUUUUACAGCACUUCCAACUACUUUAAACAUUUAUUUAAUGGGACAAUAUUUAAAUAUUUUAUUGAAUCUUUUAAAAGACGUCUUUUACAAUUCAAGGAUGGCAAAGGGCUGGUAACAAAUCAAUUGAACAUUAACGGCAUUCAUACAUUUCCAGCGAUGAUUCGUCUCCACUUGCAAUACCUUCAUUCACUCCAUUCACACUUCAAGAAAUUAUAAUAAACAUAUAACGGGUCUUACAAAUAAUAUUAAACCAAUAAAUGCCUACAUUUUAAUACUGUGUCCGACACUACAUGGACCGUGACAUCGUAUGAGUAACCGUCGACUACGAGUUUUCCUAUAAAUUUCCCUAACGUCUUAUAAACAGAUCCGCCUACACCUUAAAACACUAAUUCACUCGCCAAUAAUCGCGGUGCGCCAAUUUUAACAUAACACAUCGCCGUCAUAGUAGUUAAAUCGCUACCCGUAUCGACCAACGCCGGCAUAUUGUGAUCGUUUAACCUCACCAUUUUGCAACUCUUCUCUGUUGUCGGUAGUUCUACAUAAUUCGUACUCCGGGUUGCUUGCCUUUCAUCGUGCUUGUUACACUCUGGAGCGAUAUGUCUAUAUCCGCUGCAAUGAUAGCAUUUAACCCCGAGUUCUUUUGCGGGGCAGUUCCUGCUAAUAUGCCCUGCUCCUCCACAGUUAAAGCACCUAUCCGAUCCUCUCCUUGGCGCCCAUUCGUCGACUCUUCUGACUCCUGUAGUACUUGCCAUCGCCGCAGCCACAGGUUUUGGAUGAUUUAUUCGUACGCCACCAACCUAGUUCCCUGAUGGUAGUGAAAGCUUCUCGAACGCUCGCAAUAACGCAUCCGGGAUAUAAAGCAUGGUUCCUUGCUUGGUUCCAGAGCAUAGGAUCUGGGAUCCCUUCGACCAGAUACUCAACAAGCUCGAUCUGGUCCUCCACCGGCACCCUGUUUGCUUUAAUAAUCUUAUCAUAAAAAUAUUCGUCAAACGGCUCACCCCUUUUUCAAGUCUGCUCCUGCAACUGUUGGCGCACUGCAACCAUGCUCGGCCUAUGAUGGAACAUCUCUUUGAACCGGUCAAGCAGCUGUUUAACGUUCAUUUCAAUGAAUUUUGGACGAGACUGCAUCCAUUCCUGAGCCUUUCCUUGCAGUCUCAUUUCUGUCAGAACCUUCACCUCUUCGUCCUCAAGCCGGUACGUUGCCUGCAGCAUCUGUAUUUGCUUGGCCCAGCUUGGAAAAUCUUCCGAUUUCCCGUCGAAGAAUUUUAGCAGCUCUGCGACGGUUGCCACCCCUAUCCGACUGCUACGCACUGCCACCUACUCUCCUGUAACACUCGGACGCUCCAUUCUUACCAUUUCAAGUUCACGCCGUGUAACUGCUAGCUCGCGUUUCAUCAGAGCAUUUUCUCAUCACAAAAGAUCAAUUUCGAAAUGACUUCUUUCAAGUUCUUCAUCAUUCCUCAUUGUCAAAGGAGCGCUUACACCACCAAUUGCUCCUUCUUUUUCUUCCGUGACGAACACGCUUUCAUUGCUUGGAUCGCUCUCCUUGUUCGAAGCACUCAUUCAACGAUCCGACGGAUCGUGUUCGUGUAACCGCGCUAUUAGCUCGGUCUUAUUGUUAGUUCCUGAUGUAUUUAGCCCGUAAGCUCGCAGCAUGUCCUUCAAUUCUGAGACAGUAUGUCCUCCUGCUUCUUUAGCUGGCAUAUUUCGUCCUUAUUUUAAAAUGCUCGACUCUUUGCACACACCAACAAUGCAAAUAACUACUCAAUCUUUUCGGAUCCUUUUCUUUUUUCUUUUCUUUCACAAAAUUGUAGAAAUUAAGAUGGAAUGAAUGGUAUUGCACUGUUUUGUAUUGGAUUUUUGCGAAACACUUUUUAUUAUUUAUCAGAAACUUUAACACUUUUAAAAGAAGGAAAUAAAAACCAAAAAACUAACAAUAACUAAAGGAACAAACUUUACUUAAUACUGUUUAAAAAAAACACCGAACUUCUAAAAUGCCUUUUCCGCCUUUAUUUCGCCUAUUUCCAAAAUGUCCUACUUUCGCCGCGGUCUCUAAUCACCAACGCUCCUUUUUUAUGUUUGCCUUUCUUCAAAAAACAUGGAUCAAUACUCGCUUGCUUUACAACGCCUUGAAACGUCGGUAACUUUUAUAACAAUUUACAACAUUUAUUACCGACCUUCGGUCACUUUCUCAUUCUUUCCCAUUCCCGCAGAAAGUUACUAGGCUUUACUUAAUGCCCACUGAAAAAACACUAUACGAUUACGGACAUCACUUCUACGAAGUGCUUAAUGUAAUGAUACAUAAUAAGGGUGAAAAUGGUGACGAUGGAGUAUACGUAAAAUACUUGACUGUGAGAUAUGCUACGCUCAUGUGUCAUUUGACGGGAACUCAUCUGCGGAUUAUUUGCUACUGUACCUAAAAAUAUACGUUUGAUUUGUCAAAAGUACAAUGGCGUAGCAUAUUAUAAAAGACUUGACUGUAAUUCUCGAAUUCACAGUUCUAAACCUCUAAAACCUUAACCCAUUAAACUUAACCAAUUAUUCUGAAAUUAUGACACCUUGAAUUCCAAAUACGUGAACAGUAGAACCAGUAAAUUUAAAAAGUAUUCUAGUUAAAAUUUCAGGUUGUAUAGGUUAUGCUUAAUGGGUUUAACACUUUAGAGGUUUAAGGUUUAGAGGUUAGAAUUUUAAAUUCGAGAGUUCUAGUUAAGUUUUUUACAAUAUUAUAGUAAAAAGUGAUGUUUUAUCGAGUUUUACUAUUUUCUCGAGUUUCUUGAUCAGAUAAUGUAAAACCUGCACAUUUUAAAGGACGUAUGCAGCGUUCAUUUUGGAAGUAACAUAACCCAGAUGAAACAAAACUGUAUUCCGAUAUUCACCGGAUUCAUCUUGAAAUCCUCUGACAGAUAGAUGUAAACAAAUUAUAUGUUCAUUUGCAAAAAAUUCAUGGUAACCUUGGAAAAACACUUAAAAAAAGAGUUGAGAAAUAAUUCUAGACGAGACUUUUAUAAAAUAGUCACGUAGCUGAUAAAAACAUUUUCGAUCGGACUACUAAUAACAGAGUAAUUUCCACUUGUCGCGAUUCGUGAUUCAUGUUGUUUUAUCUUUUACAGUUGUACUUGUUGUGGAAAUAGUGUGUGCAAAUAUAUUUAUCUAUUGAUGUGAUGGAUGUUCAACUUUGACGCACUAGCAGUGCAGGGAUUUAAUAUGUAGAUAAAAAUAAUGUUAAAUAGUGACUAAUAUAGACUAAUAUAGACUAAUUCUAAGGCUAGUGUUGAUCGAAUAGAACUUCAAGCUGAUCUUACUUAAACAGUAAUCAACUCACGUUGUAUAGGAGGUGUUCACGUCAAAGUGAAAUUUUGUACUGUUUAGAAGGUAUGGUAACAAAAAAGUUUAUAUACUGCCCCAAAGAGUCAUUUGUUGUUCAAUUUCCCACGGACGAGGAAGUUUUGUUAAAUAUAUCAAAUGACAACAUUGUAAAAGCGUGUGUCCAUGCAUGAGUUGCAUGUGUGCGUGUCCAGUGUAUGAAAUGUAAUUAGCGCCGUACGACGCGUUUCCAGACAUUUAAAAAACAGAACAUACGAGGCUAUUCAGUGUCUGUCCGUUUGCAAAUGAUGAAACAUUGUGUGUCAAAUUAAUUAAAUCAUCAUACGAGGUGCGAUCAUUAAAUUCCGGGAUUGUGUCUACUAUGACCAAACGGAUCACACGAUUGAUAUACGCUCGCAGAACAUAAGAAUAACAAUAUUCCAGACAUAUGACACGAAGUUUGGAAGCGAUAUCUUUAUUGAAUCCUGUGUUAUACAAGUUUAUGGCAGCAUACGCACGCUCUCCUUUGCGAAAUCACGAUGGACUCCAAAUUGGAACAAAGAGACAAAAAAAAAAGAAACAUGGAAAAUUGUCGUCCUUGUUCACCCUUCGUAUUCAUCAGAUUUGGAACCCUGUUAUUUCUUUUUGUUUCCCAAAAUGAAAUUAAAGAUCAAGGGUCGCCGAUUUGAUACGGUGCGGUGGACGAGAUUCAACGCGAAUCGCAACAGGUGCUUGACACGCUUCUACAAGAAGACUUCUAGGAAUCUUUCCAAAAAUGGCAGAGGCUCUGGGAUCGGUGCAUAGGUGCACAAGGCGACUACUUUGAAGGGAAUAGUAGCCAAAUUUGAAACAGGUGACUUUAUCUACAUAUACAGGAUCAGUCCCGGAACUUAAUGAUCGCACCUCGUAUUACUAUUAAUCCAAACUCUAUUUUCCUUGUCAUUCAUAUAGCAUGUUAUUCCUAUUCAAAAUAUCAUGCCAACCCCGUUUCUAAAAAGUUUCUAGAAUACUGAUAUCUAACUGUGCCUGUUCUUUUGAGUGUGUCAAUUUCUCAGAUUUUGGAAAUUUGUGAUAUAAAUACGCCUAGUCCUUUAAUUGCAUCGCCUGCUUUCUGAGAACAAAUGUCAAUUUUUUUUGUGUGAGUGUUUUUCUUUUGAGCGAUGUGACAUUUCAAAUCACUAAAUUCUUAGGACAUGGGGUCUCUAUGUAAAAGUGGUCAAGAAAGUCAUUUUUUUUCUUAUUGUUUAGAAAGUUACUUUGAAACCUAUAGAAUACGAAACGCAUUGAUAUUUGGAGUGAAUCACAAAGCUAUUGUUGUGGGAGCCUAAACCCAUCCACUGUUGCAUCGAUCUGAGACGCGCACGGUGGUAUAAUGAUCGGGGAGGUGUUUAUUUAAUGUUUGAAGUGCUUCUAUACCUGUAACAGAGUUUAGUCAGAUAUUCUAGAAGAAGUACUUACACGAAAUUCCCAAAGUAAUGUUGAAUAUUGCUAUACACGAUUAUUCAAAAACUACUCAACUGAUCGGACUGAAAUGUUGUAUACAUUUUAAAAGAAGUAAUGUCUCCUGGAUAAACAUCAAAAUAACAAGAACAGACACUAGAGUGUACACCAUUUUAGAAGACGCUUUACGAUGCUUUUAACGCAUCAUACUGUACCUCUGCCAUUUUGUACUUUAUUUAAUAAAAAAAAAAUGUGAAAUGAAGUUGAAGUGUUUAGUAAGUAGUCCUCAAAUAUUUACAAAUACUUAUUCAUUUUUCAUCUCGUUUGCGAAAUUGCAAACGUUGUUGAAGGUCAUUUUUAUUUUGUCAAUGAAGUGUAAUGUCAGACGGAUGAAGUUUGUUAACGUGAAGUGUUUGCAAAGUACAUCGUCUGUUAGUUACAGCCGUGUAACGUUUAUCGGGUUGUCAUCAUCAGCUGCUCUUUUGACUUGAUUCCGUAUUUUGUUACCCGCACUUCCGACUUCUUAGGAUACUUUUAUAAUAUUUGAGAUGAAAAUGUAGUAGUUGAAAUUGAGGAAUCAAAAAUCGUAAGACGCAAAUGUAAUAAAGAACAUCUUAGCCGACAAUGGAUUUUUGGCAACGUCGAAUGUUUAUUUAUUGAAUCAGUUUUGGAUGGUUCUUCAGUUACAUCAUAUCGAUGGAAUUUUUAUAAUUGUCUUAGAAAAGAACGAUAUAAACAUUUAACUAUGAACCACAGACUAAAUUACAUUGAAUAGUUGUAUACAUAUUCGAAACAUUGAACAUUAUCUUCAAAUAAAAGACAAUAAGGUCACGAUAUGGAAUGUGGAUAGAACAUUAUAUCGGUUACAUUGUUGAAUUUUUGUUUUGGGGGAAAUAUGAUUUCAAUGCAACAAUAACUGCAUUCUUUAUUGCAUAUAAUGGCAGACACUUUUCCAAUUUUGCUUAAUAAUAAUUGAGACUAAAGUUUAUUAUCUUAUCUUCGGCUUAACCCAAGGCUAAUUCAGACAUGUGUACGUCCCCGGGAAAAUCAAACGGAUCCUGUCGAUAAAUAAAGAAACAUGCUAAUGCGUAUAUCUUUUUCUAUUCUAUUACCGACCGCAAAUUACCGACUGCGCCAUAAAAAUUCGCGUGGUAAUGGGAUGGGGUAGAUCACGCGUGCAACAUUGUUUAGAGUAGAUCACCGAUCGAUGGCGCGCGCGUUAGUUAGAAAGAGACAGCAGAUAUACUU